This 465-nucleotide ribosomal RNA is filed under the name uncultured bacterium. Its description in RNAcentral is "bacterial SSU rRNA". It matches the Rfam family "Bacterial small subunit ribosomal RNA", at positions 32 to 514 of the family's 1533-position model. The record is from RNAcentral.
CUAACGCUGGCGGUAUGCCUUAGACAUGCAAGUCGAACGAGUUUCCGGGCUUGCUCGGAAACUAGUGGCGAACGGCUGAGUAACGCGUAGGUGACCUACCCCGUAGUGUGGAAUAACUGCCCGAAAGGGUAGCUAAUACCGCAUGUUGAGCCGACAUCAGUGUCGUCUCCAAAGUAGCAAUACGCUAGAGGAGGAGCCUGCGCUUGAUUAGCUAGUUGGUGGGGUAAAAGCCUACCAAGGCGACGAUCAAUAACUGGUCUGAGAGGAUGACCAGUCACAAUGGGACUGAGAUACGGCCCAUACUCCUACGGGAGGCAGCAGUAGGGAAUUUUGCGCAAUGGACGAAAGUCUGACGCAGCAAUACCGCGUGUGGGGAGAAGCUCCGUGGAGUGUAAACCACUGUCGGAUGGGAAGAAUUAAUGACGGUACCAUCAAAGGAAGCACCGGCUAACUCCGUGCCAGCAG